CAAGGCAUAGCUCAACACAAAGCAUCCAGCUUACACCCGGAAGAUAUCACUACCUGAUUGCCUUGA
RNAcentral lists this transfer RNA (66 nucleotides) under Pygathrix cinerea 2 RL-2012. RNAcentral describes it as "tRNA-Val". It matches the Rfam family "tRNA". Rfam says of the family: Transfer RNA (tRNA) molecules are approximately 80 nucleotides in length. Their secondary structure includes four short double-helical elements and three loops (D, anti-codon, and T loops). Lineage: Eukaryota; Metazoa; Chordata; Mammalia; Primates; Cercopithecidae. The record is from RNAcentral.